GAUGAACGCUGGCGGCGUGCCUAAUACAUGCAAGUCGAGCGAACAGACGAGGAGCUUGCUCCUUUGACGUUAGCGGCGGACGGGUGAGUAACACGUGGGUAACCUACCUAUAAGACUAGGAUAACUUCGGGAAACCGGAGCUAAUACCGGAUAAUAUUUCGAACCGCAUGGUUCGAUAGUGAAAGAUGGCUUUGCUAUCACUUAUAGAUGGCCCUGCGCCGGAUUAGCUAGUUGGUAAGGUAACGGCUUACCAAGGCAACGAUACGUAGCCGACCUGAGAGGGUGAUCGGCCACACUGGAACGGAGACACGGUCCAGACUCCUACGGGAGGCAGCAGUAGGGAAUCUUCCGCAAUGGGCGAAAGCCUGACGGAGCAACGCCGCGUGAGUGAUGAAGGUCUUCGGAUCGUAAAACUCUGUUAUUAGGGAAGAACAAACGUGUAAGUAACUGUGCACGUCUUGACGGUACCUAAUCAGAAAGCCACGGCUAACUACGUGCCAGCCGCCGCGGUAA
Molecule: ribosomal RNA, 513 nt
Filed under: uncultured bacterium
Lineage: Bacteria
Description: partial 16S ribosomal RNA
Rfam family: Bacterial small subunit ribosomal RNA
Source: RNAcentral